GGGAAGAAUGCAGCUCCGUCCAUUCCCAGCCCUUUCUGGGCAGGGCUCCUCCCUACUUUCUUUCUUUUUAUUUAUUUUGGGAGGGGGGAGGAACAGAGAGAGAAGGGGAGAGAGCGCGAGAAUCCCAAGCAGGCCAUCGCGGAGCCAGAGGCGGGGCUUGAACUCACAAACCAUGAGAUCAUGACCUGAGCGGAUAUCAGGAGUCGGAAGCUUAACGGACUGAGCCACCCGGGCGCCCGACCUACUUUCUAAGUCUGUUGUUGGUGACCCGAGGCUUCGGGUCCGGGCUGUCCUCCCUGGAGCACACCUGAACACCAGUCACGUGCUGCCAGGACCACACGGGCAGGGAAGAAUGUCACGGGCAUGCACGACGGGCAGCAGAGCAGGGACAGAAGCUGCAGACUGGCAGAACCACCAGCGAGGAGCAAAGGAGGCCCACUUAGCCUGCGUUGCUCCUUUGAAUCGCCACCCCGAGAUCCGCCUCCGUGUGAAUCCCAUCGGCACGUCCUUACUCUUCAAGUCCUGCAUGCCCAUUACAGCUUAGCCCCCAGAACUCCUGACAGUUACACUUCGAUGUGUCUAGAAGCUCAUAGCGUGCGCGGCCUGGAGACACCGACAGGAAGUAGACUUAGCCUCGCCUCUGAGGAGGUCACGGCCUGGAAGUCGAGAAAGGCAAUGAAACAAUCAUGAUGCAUUGUGACAAAAUAGAAUAAUGGAGGCAUUUAGGAACUACUGAAAGGGGCACCUGGUGGCUCAGCCCCACUUCGACUCAGGCCACCAUCUUGCAGUUUGUGGGUUCGAGCCCCACGUCGGGCUCUGUG
RNAcentral lists this long non-coding RNA (821 nucleotides) under Felis catus (domestic cat). RNAcentral describes it as "lncRNA (ENSFCAG00000048963.1)". The record is from RNAcentral. Lineage: Eukaryota; Metazoa; Chordata; Mammalia; Carnivora; Felidae.